RNAcentral lists this ribosomal RNA (444 nucleotides) under uncultured bacterium. RNAcentral describes it as "partial 16S ribosomal RNA". It matches the Rfam family "Bacterial small subunit ribosomal RNA", at positions 29 to 507 of the family's 1533-position model. The record is from RNAcentral.
AAUCAACGCUGGCGGCGCGCUUAACACAUGCAAGUCGCACGAGAAAGGGAGCAAUCCUGAGUAAAGUGGCGUACGGGUGAGUAACACGUGGGAAUCUACCUCUUGGCGGGGAAUAACCCUGGGAAACCGGGGCUAAUACCGCAUAAGCUCGUGAGAGGAAAGCAGCAAUGCACCGAGAGAGGAGCCCGCGGCCGAUUAGCUAGUUGGUGGGGUAAUGGCUCACCAAGGCGAAGAUCGGUAGCCGGCCUGAGAGGGCACACGGCCACACUGGCACUGAAACACGGGCAGGACUCCUACGGGAGGGGGCGGGGGGGAAUCUUGCAAAAUGGGGGAAACCCUGAUGCAGCGACGCCGCGUGAGCGAUGAAGCCCUUCGGGGUGUAAAGCUCUUUCGACAGGAACGAUAAUGACGGUACCUGGAGAAGAAGCUGCGGCUAACUACGUG